ACUAGAAACUAUAAAUACUAAAAAAUAUAACUAUAAACAUAGAAUAUAACUAUAAACAAUAAACAGCAGGGGGUUGAGGAGACAAUGAAUAAAUAGACCAUAAAGGUGCAUCAGUGAAGUUCAACAGAUAAGGUAUUAGUAUUAGAAGGUAUUGAUUUAAAGUGACAUAUGCAAUACGUGCAAUAAACAAUAAAAUGGCAGGUGGCUGGAGCAACCCAUAGAUCAGUAUUAUCAGUAUCUAUAUUGUCAAUACAUGGGAGGUGGAGUGAGUCCAGUGUUACAGAUAUGAGGAGAUAAAGGAGCAGGUUGAUCCAGAUGUUCAGAACCCAGAGGUCAACGAAGGAUCAGUUCUGUCUCCGUCUCCAUCCUGGACUGACAGACUGGACCAGUCCUCCUCAGAAACCCCCAACCCGGUCUGUGUCCUAUCUGAGUGGUUUUACCUCCGGCUGUCGUCCAGAACCACCAGAAUACGACCCCAUUAGAGACGUUAAACCAGAACCAGAACGACUACAGAGAGACCCCGACCCUGACGACUGGCCUCAGAGCAGGACGACGAUGGAACAGACUCUUCUCUACUCGUUUGUUUUCAUUUCCAGCCGUGCAGAUGAUCAGGUGCAUUAGCGUAAAACUGUGUGUAAAGGGUCCCAUUCAGUGUAUCUGGUCUGUACACUGUAGGACUGACAGGAUGAAUGUAAAUGCACUCUGGUUCCUGUUCGUACUGAAUGUAUCAUCAGGAGGAGACAUGUUUCUCAAAUGCAUACGAAGAACUUCCAAGUGAAGACACAAAGGAUGCUGGGAAACCAGACGGAUCUGCCUUUUUCCUCAAAUCUACGCACACAGUCUUUUUGUUGUCCUUGUUUCAGCUUUUUAGGAGUGAAGGUUUUGCUGCUGCUCAGAGACAGAAGCUUGAUGUGCUACAGUAAGUGCCAUUAAAACAGACUGUAGCUUUUCUGUUUCAUGGAUUAGAAAUAAAAUCAGUUUAUUCAGCUUAGAGACGCACCGAUCCGAUCCAAUAUCAGAUUGGAUUAUUCUGUUUACGUCUCCGCUCGUACAACAUGUUAACUUAGAUUCAGUUUUCUGUAUUUGUCAUUUAAACAUUACACCUUAGAUUGUCUGCAAAAAACAAAUUACUUUACAAUAGUUGCAACAAAACACAAAGAUAAAACAGGAUAAAAUACUCAGUGAAAAAAAAAAAUCAUAAAUGCGCAUAAUAAAAUCUGUGAUGAAAACUAUGCAAGUUCGAUGUCACAUUUUAUGUCGAUAUAUUGCAUUGAGUUUGGUACAAUUAUUGUACAAAUAAUGAAUAGUUCAGGUUGGAAUCACCAUUGCAGUGUGGCUCAGAUCCACUCAGUAUAAUGAACCGAUUUAUCACUGACUAGUAAAUUCAUCAGUAACUAUUUAAAUAAGCGAAAAACAACCAAAUUCUCUGAUUCAAACAUCUUCAACUCACCGUAUUUCAGAUCCUUCCAUUGGAUAAUUACUGCAGUGAUUAAUAUAUUUCAGUUAUUUAAGCCUUUAACUGAUGCAGUGAGGAGCUUCUCAUUUGUUAACAUUUAAUGUCUUCAUUCCCACUGGAUCCAGUCACUAUUUUGUAUUAAACACAUUAAAGUUUCUUCGAUAAAACUUUUGUCAAUGUAGACACGUUAUACCUUAUUAGAAAGCUUAGAAUUAUUUAUUAACGGACACACAAGUUGGAGAAAUUUACGUUCAGUACAGCAUAUUACAGCUCACAUUAUCUGUAAACAAAACACUGAAAAACAAAAAAAACAACACUACAUCAGGACAAAUAUAGUCUGGUUUAGUGUCCUUUGAGAUCUGGUGGUGCAGUACCUGUAGCGUCCUUCAGGGGGCGUCAGAGUGUAUUAUAUGUAAGUUUCAGGGUCGUCCAAUAAAGGGGGGGUUUUAUUGGUCACCUGGUGUGAAAGGUGUCUUGUCAGAGUUGUAAGUUUUUGAACAUUAGUUUGUUAAACCAACUCCGUUCAUUAUUUUUCCCAUUUUAAAAAAAAAGGUUUUUUCAUGCAGUAGUAGCUGAAUGUCUUUAUCAAACUUCGACUUGUUGCUGUGUAUUUCCACUGAUACAUAUAUCGUUAGCCUUAUUGCAUAAUUAUCAUGAUUAAAUCAUAUUUUUAACCAAAUUGUGGUAUCUGCAUAAAAUGAGGCAGCAGUGUAAGGAGAAUGAAGCUAUACAGCACAGGUGUCAAACAUUGGCUAAAAAUGUAUGACUAGCAAUUAUGCUACGAGGCUACCGAUAUUUACACAGUGUCCGUAAACGCAUCCUGACCGUGCGCGCGUGCAGUUAAUCAGUGUUAAUCAGAGCAUUAGAAACAGCUUUUCACAGUCAAAGUACAAAUAUUUUACAAUUUUUGGAUUUUACUGCAUGAUUUAAGUUUCUGUCAGCAUUUCGGAACGAAUGACCCAACGAAAAACACCGGUAAGAACCGAUACAACCUUAAAAAUGAAGUGUCAUUGAUUAGUUUUGCCCGCGUGCUUCUUCAGUUAUGUUUUGGAUUUGAUAAAAAGGAGAAAAUUAACACAAAAUAAAAAUGAAGGAACAGGAUAAAGACCUAAACAGCCACCAACGACCAACAGCAUCUACUGAAAUAAAACGUUUAGUAACUGUUGAACUGCUAAUCCUAUCGGUACAUGUAAAUAAUUAGUGUAAAAUACAGUUUUGUCGUGUUUUCAUGGUCAUCAGAUAUGAGCCUCUGAACCUGCAAAUGGG
Molecule: long non-coding RNA, 2722 nt
Organism: Sphaeramia orbicularis (orbiculate cardinalfish)
Lineage: Eukaryota; Metazoa; Chordata; Actinopteri; Kurtiformes; Apogonidae
Exons: 3
Source: RefSeq, a predicted model, not a curated record